AGUGAACGCUGGCGGUAGGCCUAACACAUGCAAGUCGAACGGCAGCACAGUAAGAGCUUGCCCUUACGGGUGGCGAGUGGCGGACGGGUGAGGAAUACAUCGGAAUCUACUUUUUCGUGGGGGAUAACGUAGGGAAACUUACGCUAAUACCGCAUACGACCUACGGGUGAAAGCAGGGGAUCUUCGGACCUUGCGCGAUUGAAUGAGCCGAUGUCGGAUUAGCUAGUUGGCGGGGUAAAGGCCCACCAAGGCGACGAUCCGUAGCUGGUCUGAGAGGAUGAUCAGCCAAAAUGGAAAUGAGACACGGUCCAGAAUCCUAAGGGAGGGAGCAGUGGGGAAUAUUGGACAAUGGGCGCAAGCCUGAUCCAGCCAUACCGCGUGGGUGAAGAAGGCCUUCGGGUUGUAAAGCCCUUUUGUUGGGAAAGAAAAGCAGCAGGUUAAUACCCCGCUGUUCUGACGGUACCCAAAGAAUAAGCACCGGCUAACUUCGUG
RNAcentral lists this ribosomal RNA (492 nucleotides) under uncultured bacterium. Its description in RNAcentral is "partial 16S ribosomal RNA". It matches the Rfam family "Bacterial small subunit ribosomal RNA", at positions 29 to 507 of the family's 1533-position model. The record is from RNAcentral.